GGGGGCCGCAAGGCUCUCGCUCGUGGAGGGGCUCGCGCAUCAUCAGCUAGUUGGCGGGGUAACGGCCCACCAAGGCUUACGAUUAGCUGGUCUGAGAGGAUGACCAGCCCCACUGGGACUGAGAUACUGCCCAGACUCCUACGGGAGGCUGCAGUCGAGGAUCAUUUGCAAUGGGCGAAAGCCUGACAAUGCGACGCUGCGUGGAGGAUGAAGGCCCUCGGGUUGUAAACUCCUGUCAUAAGGGAACAGGCGAUUCUACCUAAUACGUAGGAAAGUUGAGUGUACUUUAAGAGGAAGCGACGGCUAACUCUGUGCCAGCAGCCGCGGUAAUACAGAGGUCGCAAGCGUUGUUCGGAUUUACUGGGCGUAAAGGGCGCGUAGGCGGCAGGGCGUUGUCAAGUGUGAAAUCUCCCGGGCUCAACCCGGAAAGUGCGCUUGAAACUACCUUGCUCGAGUUCUGGGAGAGGGAAUCGGGAAUGCAGGGUGUAGCGGUGAAAUGCGUUGAUAUCCGGCAGAACACCGGAGGGGAAGGGCGGGAUUCCUGGAACAGUUACUGACGCUGAGGCGGGAAAGUCGGGGGAGCAAACAGGAUUAGAUACCCUGGUAGUCCCGACCUUAAACGGUGCACACUCGGGGGGGGGCCAUUUCACCGGUCCGGUCUCUUAGCUAACGCGUUAAGUGUGCCGCCUGGGGAGUACGGCCGCAAGGCUAAAACUCAAAGAAAUUGACGGGGGCCCGCACAAGCAGAGGAGCAUGUGGCUUAAUUCGAUGCAACGCGAAGAACCUUACCUGGGGUUUGACAUCGUCGGCAAUGCCCUGUGAAAGCAGGGCGGAGGUUAUCCGAUAGACAGGUGCUGCAUGGCUGUCGUCAGUUCGUGCCGUGAGGUGUUUGGUUAAGUCCACCAACGAACGCAACCCCUUUGACAUGUUGCCAGCGGGUCAAGCCGGGAACUCGUGUCAUACUGCCUGUUUACGCAGGAGGAAGGUGGGGAUGACGUCAAGUCAGUAUGGCCCUUACAUCCAGGGCUGCACACGUGCUACAAUGGCAUAUACAGAGCGACGCGAGACCGCAAGGUGGAGCAAACCGCACAGAGUAUGCCUCAGUUCAGAUCGGGGUCUGCAACCCGACCCCGUGAAGUCGGAUUUGCUAGUAACGGCGUAUCAGCUACGACGCCGUGAAUGCGAUCCCGGGCCUUGCACACACCGCCCGUCA
RNAcentral lists this ribosomal RNA (1213 nucleotides) under uncultured bacterium. RNAcentral describes it as "bacterial SSU rRNA". It matches the Rfam family "Bacterial small subunit ribosomal RNA", at positions 202 to 1399 of the family's 1533-position model. The record is from RNAcentral.